Molecule: long non-coding RNA, 515 nt
Filed under: Homo sapiens (human)
Lineage: Eukaryota; Metazoa; Chordata; Mammalia; Primates; Hominidae
Description: papillary thyroid carcinoma susceptibility candidate 3
Source: RNAcentral
GCAAAAUGGCCGAAUAGGAGCAGCUCCAGUCUACAGCUCCCAGGGAGAUUAAUGCAAAAGGGUCCCACUGUGUCACCCAGGCUGGAGUGCAGUGGCACCAACUCAAUUCACUUGCAGGCUCGACCUCCCAGGCUCAGGUGACCCAUACCACCUCAGCUUCCCAAGUAGCUGGGAUCACAGGCAUACACCAUCACAACUGGCUAAUUUUUGUAUUUUUUUGGAGAGAUGGAGUCUCGACACGUUGCCCAAGCUGUUCUCAAACUCCAGGGCUUGAACAAUCUUCCCACCUUGGCCUCCCAAGGCACUGGAAUUACAGAGACAGUGCUCUGCAGGGAGUCUACCACUGUGAUGGUUAAUACUGAGUGUCAACUUGAUUGGAUUGAAGGAUGCAAAGUAUUGUUCCUGGGUGUGUCUGUGAGGGUGUUGCCAAAGGAGAUUAACAUUUGAGUCAGUGGGCUGGGAAAGGUAGACCCAGCCGUAAUCUAGGUGGGCACCAUCUAAUCAGCUGCCAGCAC